Oryza sativa Japonica Group (Japanese rice) is the source of this 822-nucleotide long non-coding RNA. RefSeq lists it as uncharacterized. The record is from RefSeq and is a predicted model, not a curated record. Lineage: Eukaryota; Viridiplantae; Streptophyta; Magnoliopsida; Poales; Poaceae.
CCGCACUCCUCCAUCGGGUGCCACCUCGCCUCUAUCCCUCCUCUCGUGUCUCUUCUGCUUCCCAUCCUCCGCUCGCUCUCCUCCGUGUGAUGGCGAGGAUGAAGUUCCGCAGUGGCUUUUAGUACCCUUGCCCUAGCCCAUGGCCAUGGGCAACCAUAUCGGCAGCGACGCAGGCGAGGCGGGCGCAAGUUCGAGGCGUCGAUCUGGUGGAGGAGAGCUCGGACUCCUCCAUUGAGAUGUGGACCGAACGAAGGGGACGCAUGGUCUUGGUGGAGGAGCGUACUCCUUCUCCACCUAGGGUGCCACUGCUAGAUUCACCAACGCCACCGCCAGGAGCUCCAAUCCCACCGCCGGCUGCUCCAGCCGAACCACCCACAGUGAAGAUCUAAGGAUAUUUAGGAUGAUGAGGAGCAAUCUGCCUCAUCGUGCAAAGAACCUGCUGCAAAGGACCUAUAAUAUGUACAGUUAGGCUAUAGCUAGUCUUGGAGAUGUGUAAUGUAAUGACUACUGAAAUGGGUUGGAUGGCAGCUGUUAUGUAGUUAGGGAAGUUGAUAUGGCUGGUGGAUGUUAACAUAGCAUCUUUUGGUUCUUUUGGUCAAGUAUGUGAUGACAUGCAAGUAGGUUUCUUGCCUCAAAUGGUCUGUUUUUGUUGUCCAUAUGACCAAGGUGAUGAUACUACCUCUAAUUAUGUAAGCGGAACCUUGUGCUUGUUUAGUGAAAGGAUGCAGCUGUCAAGUCUAGAAGCUCAUUUUUUGUUGUGAUGCAAACAUGUAUGUGAUGAAUUGUCAUACAUAAUUAGUUGCCAACUGUGGGCUAUUAUUA